Gossypium raimondii (Peruvian cotton) is the source of this 405-nucleotide long non-coding RNA. RefSeq lists it as uncharacterized. The record is from RefSeq and is a predicted model, not a curated record. The transcript is spliced from 2 exons. Lineage: Eukaryota; Viridiplantae; Streptophyta; Magnoliopsida; Malvales; Malvaceae.
AGAAGUGACUUUUCAAAGCAGUUUUGGUGAAUGCUGAACUUGGAUUUACAAUCUUCAUUGGCUUUCAGCUUUGGGUUUUUAAUUUCAAGUUUCCAGUGCAGUGCUGCUUUCCUAGGCCCAUAUUUUCCGUACGUGAUUGUACAUUCUUUCUGGUGCCAAUUUUAGAAAGGCAAACAGCCGUUGAUACCUACAGCUUUCAAAUCAUAUCCAUAAUGGUGCCAGAGUUGCCCUCUUAAGUUCGAAUCUGAAGCAGCUCUUCUUGGAGUUGGUAAGUUUGAAUAUGAAGAAGCGCAUUGAGUGACUUGUAAGAGAAGUUUGAAUCAACUUCUGUACACAAUGUUGUUAGAUUGAAGUAUUGGUUGGAACUAAAAAUCCGAUUGAAUAGAUAGUUAAACUGGUUUUCUC